CGAGGCCCACGCUUCGGGUUGGUGCCCUACCGGCGAACGGGUGAGUAACACGUGGGCAACCUGCCCUCAGCUCUGGGAUAACUCCAAGAAAUUGGUGCUCAUACCGGAUGUGACCGCUGACCGCAUGGUCUGGUGGUGGAAAGAUUCAUCGGCUGAGGAUGGGCCCGCGGCCUAUCAGCUUGUUGGUGGGGUAGUGGCCCACCAAGGCGACGACGGGUAGCCGGCCUGAGAGGGUGACCGGCCACACUGGGACUGAGACACGGCCCAGACUCCUACGGGAGGCAGCAGUGGGGAAUAUUGCGCAAUGGGCGAAAGCCUGACGCAGCGACGCCGCGUGAGGGAUGACGGCCUUCGGGUUGUAAACCUCUUUCAGUAGGGACGAAGCGAGAGUGACGGUACCUACAGAAGAAGCACCGGCCAACUACGUGCCAGCAGCCGCGGUAAUACGUAGGGUGCAAGCGUUGUCCGGAAUUAUUGGGCGUAAAGAGCUCGUAGGCGGUCUGUCGCGUCGGCUGUGAAAACCCGAGGCUCAACCUCGGGCCUGCAGUCGAUACGGGCAAACUAGAGUACUGCAGGGGAGACUGGAAUUCCUGGUGUAGCGGUGAAAUGCGCAGAUAUCAGGAGGAACACCGGUGGCGAAGGCGGGUCUCUGGGCAGUAACUGACGCUGAGGAGCGAAAGCGUGGGGAGCGAACAGGAUUAGAUACCCUGGUUAUCCACGCCGUAAACGUUGGGCGCUAGGUGUGGGGGCAUUCCACGGUCUCCGUGCCGCAGCUAACGCAUUAAGCGCCCCGCCUGGGAGUACGGCCGCAAGGCUAAAACUCAAAGGAAUUGACGGGGGCCCGCACAAGCGGCGGAGCAUGUUGCUUAAUUCGAUGCAACGCGAAGAACCUUACCUAGGCUUGACAUGCACGGAAAUCUCGUAUAGAUACGGGGUGCCUUUGGCGUCGUGCACAGGUGGUGCAUGGUUGUCGUCAGCUCGUGUCGUGAGAUGUUGGGUUAAGUCCCGCAACGAGCGCAACCCUCGUUCUAUGUUGCCAGCACGUGAUGGUGGGGACUCAUAGGAGACUGCCGGGGUCAACUCGGAGGAAGGUGGGGAUGACGUCAAAUCAUCAUGCCCCUUAUGUCUAGGGCUGCAAACAUGCUACAAUGGCCGGUACAAAGGGCUGCGAUACCGCGAGGUGGAGCGAAUCCCAAAAAGCCGGUCUCAGUUCGGAUUGGGGUCUGCAACUCGACCCCAUGAAGUUGGAGUCGCUAGUAAUCGCAGAUCAGCAGAUCAGCAACGCUGCGGUGAAUACGUUCCCGGGCCUUGUACACACCGCCCGUCACGUCACGAAAG
RNAcentral lists this ribosomal RNA (1338 nucleotides) under Modestobacter multiseptatus. RNAcentral describes it as "bacterial SSU rRNA". It matches the Rfam family "Bacterial small subunit ribosomal RNA", at positions 63 to 1410 of the family's 1533-position model. Lineage: Bacteria; Bacillati; Actinomycetota; Actinomycetes; Geodermatophilales; Geodermatophilaceae. The record is from RNAcentral.